AUAUCAAUAAGCGGAGGAAAAGAAACCAACAGGGAUUGCCCUAGUAACGGCGAGUGAAGCGGCAACAGCUCAAAUUUGAAAUCUGGCUCUUUUAGAGUCCGAGUUGUAAUUUGCAGAGGGCGCUUUGGCGUUGGCAGCGGUCCAAGUUCUUUGGAACAGGACGUCACAGAGGGUGAGAAUCCCGUACGUGGUCGCUAGCCUUCGCCGUGUAAAGCCCCUUCGACGAGUCGAGUUGUUUGGGAAUGCAGCUCUAAAUGGGAGGUAAAUUUCUUCUAAAGCUAAAUACUGGCCAGAGACCGAUAGCGCACAAGUAGAGUGAUCGAAAGAUGAAAAGCACUUUGGAAAGAGAGUCAAAUAGCACGUGAAAUUGUUGAAAGGGAAGCGCUUGCAGCCAGACUUGCCUGUAGUUGCUUAUCCGGACUUUUGUCCGGUGCACUCUUCUGCGGGCAGGCCAGCAUCAGUUUAGGCGGUUGGAUAAAGGUCUCUAUCACGUACCUCCCUUCGGGGCUGGCCUUAUAGGGGAGACGACAUGCAACCAGCCUGAACUGAGGUCCGCGCAUCUGCUAGGAUGCUGGCGUAAUGGCUGUAAGCGGCCCGUCUUGAAACACGGACCAAGGAGUCUAACAUCUAUGCGAGUGUUUGGGUGUCAAGCCCAGACGCGUAAUGAAAGUGAACGGAGGUGGGAACCUUUUAGGUGCACCAUCGACCGAUCCUGAUGUCUUCGGAUGGAUUUGAGUAAGAGCAUGGCUGUUGGGACCCGAAAGAUGGUGAACUAUGCUUGAAUAGGGUGAAGCCAGAGGAAACUCUGGUGGAGGCUCGCAGCGGUUCUGACGUGCAAAUCGAUCGUCAAAUUUGGGCAUAGGGGCGAAAGACUAAUCGAACUAUCUAGUAGCUGGUUCCUG
Molecule: ribosomal RNA, 902 nt
Filed under: Phaeosphaeria luctuosa
Lineage: Eukaryota; Fungi; Ascomycota; Dothideomycetes; Pleosporales; Phaeosphaeriaceae
Description: partial large subunit ribosomal RNA
Rfam family: Eukaryotic large subunit ribosomal RNA
Source: RNAcentral